CCUACGGGAGGCAGCAGUGGGGAAUAUUGCACAAUGGGGGAAACCCUGAUGCAGCGACGCCGCGUGAGUGAAGAAGUAUUUCGGUAUGUAAAGCUCUAUCAGCAGGGAAGAAGUGACGGUACCUGAAUAAGAAGCCCCGGCUAACUACGUGCCAGCAGCCGCGGUAAUACGUAGGGGGCAAGCGUUAUCCGGAUUUACUGGGUGUAAAGGGAGCGUAGACGGCAAGGCAAGUCUGAAGUGAAAGCCCGGUGCUUAACGCCGGGACUGCUUUGGAAACUGUUUAGCUGGAGUGCCGGAGAGGUAAGCGGAAUUCCUAGUGUAGCGGUGAAAUGCGUAGAUAUUAGGAAGAACAUUAGUGGCGAAGGCGGCUUACUGGACGGUA
Molecule: ribosomal RNA, 382 nt
Filed under: uncultured bacterium
Lineage: Bacteria
Description: bacterial SSU rRNA
Rfam family: Bacterial small subunit ribosomal RNA
Source: RNAcentral